Peromyscus californicus insignis is the source of this 4404-nucleotide long non-coding RNA. RefSeq lists it as uncharacterized. The transcript is spliced from 3 exons. Lineage: Eukaryota; Metazoa; Chordata; Mammalia; Rodentia; Cricetidae. The record is from RefSeq and is a predicted model, not a curated record.
CUAUGUUUUGAUAGAGGCCAUGGGAUAGAAAUAAGAGGAGAUGAAGGAGACGCAAAGAGAAGGGGGAGCAGGGGAGAGACUGCAACAAGGUAGCAACAGAAUGAAGGUGUUCAGCAGAGUCUGGCACUGGGAAAGGCUUUGGUGCUGAACAACCCUGUGUGGUCCUUAGGGGUGUGUGCCCACUGCAGAAGCAGCAUUGCGCUUUCGUGAAGGCAAGGUUUGUUUAUGAGUAAUGAGGCAAAUAAGGCACAAACUGCCUCCUGCACUCAACAGAUUUUUGUUAUUUUUAUUGCCCUAUCAUGCUUUCAUUGUGAUAAUAAUAAAAGGAAAGUCCCUUUGUUUAGACGGCAAUUUUAAAACGAUGUUCAGACCUGCCUAUUAACUGUAGUGUAUUUACAGAUCUGACUACCAAGCUGAAACAAGCCAGCCUGAGCAGAAGGGACUUUAUACUUUUUCCUGGAGGCAAGCAGGCUUGGAAUCCAAGGGGAAAUGGAUGUAGACACUGAGGCCCAUCUGCUGGAAAUGUUCUGCCCCAGUCUCCUGAAUUAAGACCUAGGGACUUUUUUUGUUAACUGCAUCCAGGGCCAGAGCCACAUGCAGCUCCACUGAGCCGUAGCUAAGCCCUCUGCUUGCAGCCAUUGCUUACAACCAACCCCUGAGACUGAGGUUCAGCUGCAAAACACAGGUGCUAAAGCGCCUCACCCCUUUCCUACCUUUUAACUGACAAAGCAGCUGUGAGCCAUAGACGCAGCUACUUCCAAAGCUAGCAGCAAGACUGGGUUUCUGGUAGACUCUCCCACUAAGUGACUGUACACCCUAAUCUCCCCAGGAUGUCUCUUGUUAAGUGGGUCAGACCAUAAGGACUGCUUUUCGUCAAGAAAACACGGUUUAAGGUACACCAGAGACUCAUACCGGGAAUUCCUGAGUAUGGAACACGACACGGAAAAGUCCCACAGCCUUAGCACUGCAUUCCAGGGCAGCUUGAUUGUCUGCCUGGGUGGUAUAAGCUGUGAGCAAUUGUUUAACCUUGAUGCACCUCCAGUGUCUGCAUCUAUAAAAUAAGGGCGAUUGGUCUUUAAGGGUGCUGCCUAAGGAUAAGAUGAGUGCACCCAUGUGACACUCUAGCACCAUGCCCAUAGCACAGUUUACCCAUCCAGAGAAUUAAUUCAUCCUAGGAUUGAUUCAUAAGCCUUCAGAACUACGAAGCCACUCUACCUUAUUACCAGGACUCAACGGCCAAGCUCACCUCCAGCACCUUCUCCCACGAUUAGCAGCUGAGCAAGUGAGGAGGUAUGUAUACACCUGGGUCAGGACAGGGACUCUUCCGGGGCCUGUUGAGAAAGAGGACCCCUCCCUCCACUGGGUUUUCUGGGUUGAUAGAGCUGGUAUUGCCAGGAUAUUGCUGAAGACAAGGUUGUGGAGAGUGUCUGCCUAUGGGCGAAGCUGGUGUAGAAUCAAGAAAAAAAGACACCGCGUGAGAGGCUAGGUGUGGUGGUGCAAGCCCAUGACUCCAGAACUGGGGAGACUGAGGAAGGAGAGCCACAACUUCCAGUCACAAACAUCCAAAUAAAAAUCAGGAAGCGGGGUGGGAACCUGGGGAGCUGGUUCAGCCAGUGAAGUGCUAACCUAAGCAAGCAUGAGGACUUGACUUCAGAUCUCUAAAACCACUGUCAAAGCCAGGCGUGGCAGUGGGGGGCCUGCAAUCCCCAGCCCUGGGGAGGCAGAGCUAGACAGUCCUCCGGGGCUGCUGGCCAGCCAGCCUCGCUGAAUCAAUGAGCUCCAGGUUCAGUGAGACACUCCCUCUCAAAACACAGUGCAGAGAGUGCUAGAUGGAGGCAUCCGGUGUUGACCUUGGCAUCUGUGGGUGAGCCCCACCCUCCCCCAAUAUGGACUGAGAGACUAAGGAAUUCCAGUGAUAGGUUUUGAGGCACAGGAUGUGGUGGUGCCUAAAACCUCCAGACUUUAUCUCCUCCACGAACUCAUAAAUUUCACUUGAGCCAUUUUAAGGAAGGAUUCUGGCACUGAACGUGUCCUGACUGGCUCAGAAGGAAACUUAAACGUAAGUAUGACAACCUUCUUUGGUUGGCAGUCAGUCUUCUGUUCAGUAUCUAACGAGGUAUUCAACCAAAGCUUGGAUUCUUCCAGCAACAGAGAGCUCAUUACCAGUUGAAGAAACAUAUUAUGGGGUGUUUUUUUUCUUUCACCACAACAAAUUCAUGUACUGAGUGCAUAUUUCUUUUCUGAAGUUACCACUUAUUUCAUCUAUACCAGAGGCCAUGUUCUAUGUUACAGUAACAAGUACACAAUUAUCUCAUUUAAUUUUCAGAAUCACCUUAAGAUAUAAAUACUGAUUUGGAAGCCACUUCAGGAUUUUCUUUUUACUCAGCUUUGUACCAGCUUUACUACCAGAAAGACCUUUCUACAUCACGGCCCUCAACAGUUCCGGGCAAUGCUGGCUCACCAGUGCAGAAACUGCAGCGGACAGAGUCUUUCUCUUCCUUAGCAGUUCCAGAAGAAUCCCUGUUCUCACCCUCGCUGGGUGAACCACUGUGGAUGAGUGAUGGAGCCCUCUCAUUUGCCUGUGGGUCAUAGAUCUACUCCAUGGUCAGCUUUUGAGAGACUAUUAGGGGCUGAAGCAAGGGCCAUGGAGGUGAUAAAGAGGUGAGGAUGGACUCAUGUAGAUAUAAGUGCAUACCAAUGGCUGGAUGACGGGUGGGGCCAGAGGGGAAGGGAUGCAUUCAAAUGAACCCCAGAAAUGAGCAGCAUGGAGUAAGAAUGGCAAGAAACAACGUGAACAGGUAAAGAUGAAUGUUCUGGUUACCCCCAAGAGGUCUGGUUAAUUGAAAGCUAGGGCCAAUAAUUCCAAGGGUACUUGAGAGCUCUAUGUAUGUCACAUCUGCUAGCCCUUUAUAUGUCAGUAAGAACUGGACUGAAUCUCAUUCAGUAUGAGGAAACCAUCAAGAACAGAAUCGGACGAACAACGGAAGAAAUAUUUUCAGAGGGCAGUUUUUGCGGAGACCUUCAGUCACAGGACAUGUCGGGGGGAACAUGUUUAUGUCCAGCCCCACAGGAAGCAGAGGAGAGAGAAGAAAACUCAGCCUGACGAUGCAGCCCAGUUCUCCCAAGCCGCAGGUCCAGGAAGCACAGGGACGUGUGCACUGGCGGAAGAUGUUUCUGGUGUGGGGAGGAGGUACUCAGGGAAGGAACGGAGCUCUUGUGUACCUGUGGUGUGCCAGACCCUUCCUGUGCCUCCCUUGGGAAUCUUACAGAACCACUGCCAUCAUUGCACCACUGUUUCUUUCCAGAUGAAGAAAUUGUGGGGGACUUGAGAAGUUAAGCCGUUUUUCUAAGAUCAAGCAGUGUAAGAAUUAUUUCUCUGAAUAAUCAGUGGCUAUGGUAGUUCCUCCUUGUCUAUAUUGGGGGAGUACAUUCCAAACCCCAGUGGAUGCCUGGAAUCAAAGCUAAUACCAUCCCCACAGGAACGGUUUGCUUUCCUACAUAUGUAAAUUUAUUAAUUGAGCACAGCAAGAGAUUAACAACAAUAACUGUAAAGUAUGCUGUAAUGAAAAGUUAUUUAAGACUUACUGAUUGCUUAUUUAUGGAGUUUUCCAUUUAGUAGAUCUGGAAGGCAGCUGACUGGAAGUAACUGAAACCAUGAAGGAAGAACUGCUAUAUGUGUUUUUUCCUAAUUCACAAUAUACAAGUGUGCGUCCCAUCUUUGAAAUAAUUUGGGAAGUUGAAGUAUUAAUAUCGCUCCUAUGAUAUAGAUAAGGAAAUUGUGCCCUAACAACGUCAGGGCUCAAGGUCACACUAGCUGCGUUCUCCAAUUAUGACAGAGCUCUGGGAGCUGUUUAAUAACUGCUUUACUCUGAAUCACUGAACACAUUCGCCUGUAAGAAAAACACCCUGCUCUAGUGAAAUGUGUGCCAUCAGACCUACAGAAGGGAAGAGACAGUUCCGGUCUGAGAAGUCGGCGUCUCCUCCAUGUGCAUUCCAUGGGAGAUGCAUUUGAAGGGCGGGGUGUUCCCUGAAGACCGGCUUCACCCUGUCACUCGGAAUGCGUGAGCUCUGUCAGUGCACUGGACUGGGAACAAUUCUCCUUCCUAGCGGGGAGAUGGAAGUGUUGGCACUCUCCUUGACACUUGUAAAUCUGGGGUCACUAAGUAAAAGCCCUAUAAACUUGCAAGGGCUUGAUAUUAUUACAUAAUGAUGGUGAUAGCAAUAAUACUUUGUGCUUAUGCAGCAUUCAAAGAUUGGGAAGUUUUUGCAUACUGGUUAUUUUAAGAAUUAUUGCCUCCCCAACUUUAUUGAAAUAUAAUUGGGAAAUAAAACUUGUCAAGGUGUGUAUGGUGAAUGUAUGUAUGAAAUGACUCCCACAAAUAAACACAUCCAUCAUCCUGCAUA